RNAcentral lists this ribosomal RNA (460 nucleotides) under uncultured bacterium. Its description in RNAcentral is "partial 16S ribosomal RNA". It matches the Rfam family "Bacterial small subunit ribosomal RNA", at positions 338 to 795 of the family's 1533-position model. The record is from RNAcentral.
CCUACGGGCGGCAGCAGUGAGGAAUAUUGGUCAAUGGACGAGAGUCUGAACCAGCCAUGCAGCGUGCAGGAAGACUGCCCUAUGGGUUGUAAACUUCUUUUAUACAGGAGUAAACCGUUCUACGUGUGUGAAUCUGUAAGUACCAUACGAAUAAGGAUCGGCUAACUCCGUGCCAGCAGCCGCGGUAAUACGGAGGAUCCGAGCGUUAUCCGGAUUUAUUGGGUUUAAAGGGAGCGUAGGCGGAUUGUUAAGUCAGUGGUGAAAGGUCGCAGCUCAACCGUAGAAUUGCAUUUGAUACUGGUAGUCGUGAGAGUAGUAGAGGUGGGCGGAAUUCGUGGUGUAGCGGUGAAAUGAUUAGAUAGCACGAAGAACUCCGAUUGCGAAGGCAGUUCACUAGACUGCAACUGACACUGAGGCUCGAAAGUGUGGGUAUCAAACAGGAUUAGAUACCCCAGUAGUC